Molecule: ribosomal RNA, 271 nt
Filed under: uncultured archaeon
Lineage: Archaea
Description: partial 16S ribosomal RNA
Rfam family: Archaeal small subunit ribosomal RNA
Source: RNAcentral
CGGCGCCACAAGUGGUCAUCGCGAUUAUUGGGCCUAAAGCGUUCGUAGCCUGUUUGGUAAAUCUCCCGUGAAAUUGUCUGGCCUAACCAGACAGCGUGCGAGGGACACUGCCAGACUCGAGACCGGGAGGGGUUAGAGGUAUUCCGUGGGGACUGGUAAAAUGGGAUAAUCCACGGAGGACCACCGAUGGCGAAGGCAUCUAACCAGAACGGAUCUGACGGUGAGGAACGAAAGCCAGGGGAGCGAACCGGAUUAGAUACCCGAGUAGUCC